Molecule: ribosomal RNA, 377 nt
Filed under: uncultured bacterium
Lineage: Bacteria
Description: bacterial SSU rRNA
Rfam family: Bacterial small subunit ribosomal RNA
Source: RNAcentral
AUACGUAGGUGGCAAGCGUUAUCCGGAUUUAUUGGGCGUAAAGCGAGCGCAGGCGGUUUUUUAAGUCUGAUGUGAAAGCCCUCGGCUUAACCGAGGAAGCGCAUCGGAAACUGGGAAACUUGAGUGCAGAAGAGGACAGUGGAACUCCAUGUGUAGCGGUGAAAUGCGUAGAUAUAUGGAAGAACACCAGUGGCGAAGGCGGCUGUCUGGUCUGUAACUGACGCUGAGGCUCGAAAGCAUGGGUAGCGAACAGGAUUAGAUACCCUGGUAGUCCAUGCCGUAAACGAUGAAUGCUAGGUGUUGGAGGGUUUCCGCUCUUCAGUGCCGCAGCUAACGCAUUAAGCAUUCCGCCUGGGGAGUACGACCGCAAGGUUGAA